CCUAUAAGACUGGGAUAACUUCGGGAAACCGGGGCUAAUACCGGAUAAUAUUUUGAACCGCAUGGUUCAAUAGUGAAAGACGGUUUCGGCUGUCACUUAUAGAUGGACCCGCGCCGUAUUAGCUAGUUGGUAAGGUAACGGCUUACCAAGGCGACGAUACGUAGCCGACCUGAGAGGGUGAUCGGCCACACUGGAACUGAGACACGGUCCAGACUCCUACGGGAGGCAGCAGUAGGGAAUCUUCCGCAAUGGGCGAAAGCCUGACGGAGCAACGCCGCGUGAGUGAUGAAGGUCUUCGGAUCGUAAAACUCUGUUGUUAGGGAAGAACAAAUUUGUUGGUAACUGAACAAGUCUUGACGGUACCUAACCAGAAAGCCACGGCUAACUACGUGCCAGCAGCCGCGGUAAUACGUAGGUGGCAAGCGUUAUCCGGAAUUAUUGGGCGUAAAGCGCGCGUAGGCGGUUUCUUAUGUCUGAUGUGAAAGCCCACGGCUCAACCGUGGAGGGUCAUUGGAAACUGGGAAACUUGAGUGCAGAAGAGGAGAGUGGAAUUCCAUGUGUAGCGGUGAAAUGCGCAGAGAUAUGGAGGAACACCAGUGGCGAAGGCGGCUCUCUGGUCUGUAACUGACGCUGAUGUGCGAAAGCGUGGGGAUCAAACAGGAUUAGAUACCCUGGUAGUCCACGCCGUAAACGACGAGUGCUAAGUGUUAGGGGGUUUCCGCCCCUUAGUGCUGCAGCUAACGCAUUAAGCACUCCGCCUGGGGAGUACGACCGCAAGGUUGAAACUCAAA
This 791-nucleotide ribosomal RNA is filed under the name uncultured Staphylococcus sp. Its description in RNAcentral is "bacterial SSU rRNA". It matches the Rfam family "Bacterial small subunit ribosomal RNA", at positions 129 to 905 of the family's 1533-position model. Lineage: Bacteria; Bacillati; Bacillota; Bacilli; Caryophanales; Staphylococcaceae. The record is from RNAcentral.